GACAGUAUUGACGUUUAUGAAAAUCAUUUUUAUCUUCCUUCCAGUCAAGUUAAUGAAUUUCCAGUUUCUAUUGUGUUAUGUACGUUGCUGUGAUUUCCGUGCACGCUCUUGUAGAUAAAACAGAAGUUCGUUAGGAUAAAAAAUAACUAUUUUUAUUGUGAUUUCGAGAUUGAUCCGCUCUUUAACUUAUGCCUUAAAUCUAGUGCAAUUUUUUUAAGAACUGUCGUGUAAUAAAUGAAGAAAUAAAAUUGUGCAUGUAAGAUUGUGAGUACUGUUUAAAAAAAUUGUAUCAAUAAAAACGUCGUAACACGUAGUAUUUGCAUUAAGGAAUUAUUGUAAAAUGUCUGGAGUACUUGCCGGUCAUGUGUCUAAACGCAAAAGAGGUCAACAUGUAAAAAGUCGUGCAGUGCUGAGAAUGAUGGCAAUAAUGCAGGACAGGAAUAGAGAAGAAGUGCCCAAGGAGUUCUUGGAGACGGGACGCACGGGACGGAGGAAUGCCAUGCCGGACAUCCUGCAUCCACAAGGCGCGGAGGUUACGACCGCGGAUCUGCCGUCCAGGCUGCAACAGCUCGUCACCACUGAUCCCGACAAUCCACAGGCGGGCGCAUCGACGACGGAUCUGGACGUUAAGAAAGCAGACGAACAGACCGCUAAAAAGGACAGCUGCAGUUGAGCUGUCGGUCUCACUCAAGGUCGAAAGACCGAACUGGACUAGCCCAAAGCUAAAGUAAUCUCAACCAGGUAUAGUAUUACGUAGUCACACUUCCGCAGGGGCGCGGUCGUACAAAUGUAGUUUAGGCGUUUUUAGUUUGACAAAUGAAGUUUGACAUAACAUUGACGUUUGACGUCAUCUGUAAUGGUAUCUAUGAAAUGAUUUAUUAAUUUACUGUGCACCAAUAAUAUUAUCCCAAACGAUCGUUUUCAAUAAGGUCCGCAAAGGCUUCGUGGGUAUAUAUCGACUUGGCUUUGACACUGUCGUGAAUAAAUCUAUGUGCGGCGGUAAAACCAACUCGAUCGAAAACCCAAACUGCUUUCAUUGGCUAAUGUUAAAAACGUCAAAAAGUUUCUUGAAGAGCAAUGAAAUCAGAUAAUAUUUAUAUGAAUCAUUGUUUGCCUAGUAACUGAUAAUAUCAUUUUAUGAAUACAAAAAUCGUUCGGUUGUUUUAUGUUUUUGUACGAAUAAAAUUAUUGACACAGUGACGAUGUAGUAUGGCAGCUUUUUUACAUGAUAAAUGUCACAAUGAGUCGUUUUGUUCCUUUCAACAUUAUAACAAAUUUAAUUCUAAACUAUAUUUUCAAAUGUAAUUCUUAUAUUUAUACGAUUGUUAUAAUCUGUAAUUAAAAUAUUUUUUUCAUGCAGCUUGUCUAUGGGUUCUGUUGAGACAUUUUCCACAACUGUUACAUUACAGACUGAUCAGACGAUAUUUUUACACACGCUUAAUAGGGAUAUUUGCUAAAUUGAAUUGUGUACAUUGGCUUAAAAGCAAAUGCCACCAAUAAGAAAACUUGCGAAAACAGCAUCGAAAUUAGUUAAGUGUAAUGAGUAAGUGAUGUGUGAAUGAGUAGUAAGGAAAUAUUUCCCAACUCCCUCGCACCCCUACAAGCGACGCCUUAAACAGUUGUGAAUACUCUUAUUUUUACUUCACUACUAAUCCCACUACAAAAGCUUAAAAGCUUUCUGACUUCGUUCAUUUAUAAACCGAUUUAUUCUUGCAAAUAAAUAUAUUUUAAGUGACAACACUAUUUAAACAAAAAGCACACACGUAUUCGAAUUUUGUGUAUAAAUUGAUUUUAUAUUACAUAACAUUGCUUAUUCGUUAAUCUUAAAGAAAGAUAUGUAAAAACAAGUGAAAGUAAUUAGACAAUACAAUUUAUUCUAGAAUAGUGAAAUAGAAAAGUGAUUAAGAAUGUGCGUGUUUGUAGUUGAAUUUUUACUGUAGAUUUUGCUAUUAUAUUGAAAAACCUAUAUUCGGCUUUUUCUGUACAAAAGUAUAUUUGUGAGUAAAUUGUAUCGAUUAAAUAUUGUGCGUAAUUGAUGUGGCAAAAGGACAUAGUGUUGACUGUGGGGUUGCCAGAUAAAAUGAAUUAACUCGUAAAAUAUAUUAAUGGCGCCACAUGAUGACACCUUAAUAUCUAAAUAAAAAAUGUCAAUUUUGUUUAAAAGACUAAUAAUCCUUAAUAUUGGAUUUGUAUUGAUAUAUUUGGCAAGCGAUUAGAAUAUUAUUAAAAUUUAUGGUUCAUGUUUUGCAUGUAUGUGAGUAAUGUGUAAUGUUCGGUCUUGCUGCCUGUGGUUGAAUAAUGAAGAAAAUGUAAGUACAUUUUUACAUUUUCUAAAUUAUUUGUGUAUUUUAUCAAUCAUUACAUCUAACAAUAUUGGUAGAAGUGGCCCCAUGAUGUUUUGACCAACAGAAAGCUAGCACCAGACUAGAAUUGGAUAUAGUGAGAAAUUAAACAUAUCAAAUGAGUUGAUUAGUCUCAGAUAAACGAAUCUGCCUUUUUAAAAUAUAUUUUAGCAAACAGAAAAUCCAAUAAAGAUUGUUUUUUACAAAACAUUUCUUCAAUUUUCUUUAACACAGCUGUUAUGUUGAUUAAUUUAUCGCCACGUGCAAAUGCAAGUAAAGAAAGUGGACUUUAAUCUAUUGCUACGUCUAUUUGGUAGGAAAUUCGUUCUUAAUUCUACACAGAAAUUAAUUUUAUAACUUCAUAUGUUAUCAUCAUUGCUAUUUUAUUGACAUUCUACAUCAAUUCGAACUACUAUUCAAACAGGAAAUAAUUAACUUUAAAAGAAGUCCUCUUUCUUUACAUGCAUAUUGAAAUGUUUUUGUUUUGUUCAGAUUGUUCUAAAAUUUUUUUCUAGUGAGGUCGAAUAUAAAUUUGAACUCAAAUAAGCGCGCCGUCUUCGAGCUCACAAAGUAUAACACAGACGUACUAUCAAUUUUUCUCAAUUUAUUCGAAAAAUCUGUCAAUAAAAAUAAAGUUGGACAUAGUACAUAGCGGGGUACUAUAUAGCAGCCCUCUGUCGCGUCACAUUUGUUACGAUCAAGAAAUACAGUUAUUUCUAAAUUUGUAUGUAAUCGAUUUUUAUGGGUUGACGAACAGAUUUCUCUUCAUCGGACCGACAUUGUAUGUGAAGAAUUCGUGAAAGAUUUGUAAGUGGACUUCUAUACAAUUAAAAAUUUUCAAUCGAUCAAACGAACGGCCCACGAUAUUAUCCAUUAGCCUGACUAAUUUUAUUAUAUCGUCUACUUGCAUUAAAAUUGUAUAAUCUCAAACUUCCUAAUUUUACAGGAGAGUGUUUUAAAGGGUUGCAACACUUUAUUUUUUAUCAGUUACAUUAUCUGUCUUUUAAAGUAAGAUAUAAUGAUGUAUCAAUUUGGUAAUAGUAGUCAAAACAUAGGUAAACUAAAAAAGAAAACUAAAACUAGACUAUGAUCUUUUGACAGUAUUUAUGAGAAAAAUACUGGUGAUACCAAAUGAUUCCGCAUAUUAACUCAAUUUCGAAUAUUUUUGGAAAUUGUACACUUUUAAUGCGAAAAGACGAUAUAUGUACCUACUAUUUAUAGAUAGCUGUUAAACUAGGAAUCACAGAAAGUCUGUUGGACCGAACAGUUUUAUUUAAAAAGGAAAGUAUGAUGUGUAAAAAAAAGUUCGUGUAUUAUAAUAUUUUAUGUUAAAAUUUCGUAACUUCCUAAUUAUAUUUAAUGUAUACGCUUAGUUAUUUAUUUUUAGUAUUCAUUAGGAUUUUAUUUAUUGAUUUCUGUUUACGUGCUGUCGGUACUGGAUUAGAAAUAAAGAAAUCAUUUUAGUUUUUCAGCUAGACGUUUAACGUUUGUAUUUUGUGUCUUGUCUAUAUGACGUCAAAUGAAUAAUUUCUUAAUAUUUAAUUAAACGCACAAAAUAUAUGUACGUAUGUACAAUGGAAUUAAAGUUACACAAUAUCUUAUGAUUUUUGAAAUGCAGAACUUUGUUUGCUGUUAAGGUCUGAAAAAAUAAUACAGAUAUAAUAUAGAUAUAUUUUUAAACUAAACUUGUUGAAGAAAGCUCAACAUGUAAUAGACAAAAUGAACCAAGAACAAAGAAUCUCACAACGCAAUUUCCACGUAAUAAUGUCAUGUACUAUAAUGCCUGUAUACAUUUAAACAAUGGGAAAUAUGAAGCGACCCUUAAGAUUAAGAUUUUCACACGUUGCGCUUUUGUUUUUCAUGCAACAGGACUUAUAGAUUUAUCAAACCGUUUGCCGUCCCUAGAGUUCAUGAAGUCGCGAAUUAAUAUCACAGUUUGACUAAUAUGAAUGAUCUGGAAAAUCACACCUUACGUAAUAUCCACAUUGAAUAAAAAUUAAAUGAGAAAUGUUGGUAGCUAAAUUUUGUAUCGUUAAGUACACUUUUUCUAUUGGAUGAGUGAUUGUUCCAAAAUAUUCGUGAAGGUUCUUAAAUUCGUCUUCUUCUUUGUCUCCGCCUUAUCCCACUAGAUGGGGUCGGGAGAGCGAAAAUUUCUAUUCCAUUGUCUGCUAUCAGCCGUCGUCUCAAAACUCAGUCCUUUCUCUCUCGUAUCGUCAUUCACACACUCUAUAUAUGUCUUCUGCGGUCGACAUCUUCCCCCUCUACUGUGAAGGAUCUUGACGUGUGGUUCGAUUUUAUAGGGGUACUGUGUUUUAAUUAUCAAUUUUGACUAUGCGGUCCAUUUUUGCUCUACAAAUGAAAAAUAAAGAUACACAUUUUAAAUGGCAUAUAGCGUUACCAUUGACCAUUCAGUAAAUAUAAAACAAUAUAGCGAAUUUGUUCUACAUUGUGAAACUGUGAUUGAAAUUGCCUAACGAAAAAAAUGUUUUUUUUUUCAUACCAUAUUUAAAUGUCAAAAAUUUGAUGAUACAUUUAUUUAUACUCCGUGGUUUCAUUGUAUCUUUUUUUUUCAAUCCGUUUUAAAUGUAAAAAAUUUUUGAUUCAUAUAGUAAUUAAACUCCGUGAUUUAAUUGUAUUAUUUAAUUGACGUACAUACUGGCGUUUCAUAGCAAUCUACACGUUCUGCCAUGUAGAGACGUGCUAAGUCAUUAAUGUUCACAAUUUGGAUGUGGUACAUGAAACCAAACAUAAAAUAAACUGAAUAUCCAAGCUAUUCGGUGCUGCUUUAAAGAAAGCAUUUUUUUUAAAGCGCUUUUUAAUUUGUUUAUUACUUUAAAUUCAUGUUUGUGAGGCUCGGUUAAUUGUUUAAAUUACAUCUUAAUGUACUACUUAACUGUUAAGAUGACGUGUUCACGUUUAUUUACGAAUGUCGAUUUACUACAUUCUUCUAGAUCUCCAUUUUAUAUUUAGUAGCUUUUAUUUGUACUGGUAUCAUUAGAAUUAGGAUAGCUGUAGUUCGGGCUGUGUACAUGUAUUUAUUUAUAUUUGUUAGUCCUGUAUAUUUAUUUUUAAAUACAUCGUGAUUUACAGCUCCAAAAUGUCGUACAAAAGUAAUUAUAAUGUUAUUAACUGAUUCUUACUGAAGUACGAUGUUGACAAAUUCGUGAAUAUAAUGCAUAUGAGCCGCGUUUUAUCACUGAAUUCUGCUAUUUUAAUAUUAUUUAAAGAAAGGUUUUUGUGGCAACUUUUUCGCUUUUGAUUUAGGUCAUAACGUCGCUGCAGAUACACAGUAAAUACAGAAUCCAUAGUUCAAAAAUUUGUGUUAUGUAAACAACGAAUAUUAGUGCAGGCUAGAUAUUUUUCUUUGAAAUUGUUUACAUGCCAUAAAUUUUAAAUAAAUGUAUAGUUGUAUACGUUAGAAACGUGGUUAAUGAACGACAACCCAAAAUUGAAUCCAUAGAAUGUAUUCCUUCUAUACAAAUACAUCGAAAAUAACGUAGAAAAAAAAAAUUUAAACUAAAGCAGGUUUCAAUUUUCUUUACUGAAAUUAGUUCCGUUACAAUAACUAAAAGAAUAAUUAAUAUUUAAAAAAAAAACUAUUCAUAGUUGUCAACACGAAUCAACGCGAAUAAUGAUUAAAACGGAUGCAUGAAAUAGAAAUCCAGGUUUUUUUUUUUUUUUAUUGCUUAGAUGGAUGGACGAGUUAAGUUUAAUGUCAAAGAUUUAUUAUCAACCUACUGGUGCUUUAAGCAAUUUUCGCUAAUUUAAAAGCUUCGAAGCGGCACAUUUUGUUAGUUGUGAUAUAAAUAGAACAGCCAAUCUAGUUCUAUAAUAUUUAGAGGUCAGUGGAUUUAUAGUUUAGCUAAUGCACCUGAAGUUACAUAGCUGUUAUGUAAACAGUUUGAAGUGUCCAUACAUACUUUUUCUCAUACAGCCCAUUAUAGCAAGUGCUCUGAAGACUGCUAUGAUGAACAAAAGACACCGUGUUAAAUUAGGAUUAAACACAAUAUCCACAUUAAAUACAGUCUUUUAAAUUAAUGGGCGUCUGAAUACUAUGACACAAUGUUUGGUACGGUUGCAAUAGUUGUCUUCUCACAUUGUCAUUUAGGUCAUAAAAUAGACUACUGUUUUACAAUAAACUUCACCUUACACUUUUAAUAAAUAAUGUAAUUAAAAAUACAUAUAUACACAAUGACGGAAUAGUUUUGUUUGGCACAAAAGUAAAACUAUGUAAUAGCUACUGAAGCCCCAAAAUUAUAUAAAAAGAUAAAUAAUCAAGUAGUAUUGAUGACAUUAUUAUUAUUGGAUACACAGUAGAUAUAGAUAUGCGAGCGUUUUAAGUCAUCUUUUGUACUUAUGCCUUUUUAAAAUUUAUUUAAAAUAAUGUAUCUUAUGCAAUAAUUCUGUUGUCGUUAUGUGAUUAUGUUAGAUUAGUGAAAUCAUAACGAAGUAACUGUGGAUGUGCAGUGGUGCAAUUGUAUUAAAAAACAAUGUUGUUUUUGUAAUCUAGCAUAAUGUUAGAAUUAACGAUUUUGUAUCGUUUUGUAUCUGAGUAGCCGUGAGGCCGUAUGAAACACGAAUAAAAAUUGAAAAAAUUAUUGUAA
This is a long non-coding RNA of Bombyx mori (domestic silkworm), 6946 nucleotides long. RefSeq lists it as uncharacterized. The transcript has 3 exons. The record is from RefSeq and is a predicted model, not a curated record. Lineage: Eukaryota; Metazoa; Arthropoda; Insecta; Lepidoptera; Bombycidae.